CAGGUCCCUGGAUGAGAAGGAGCUGACAGCAGCCGAGCCCCACCUUCUCUGUGUGCUGGGGAGCGGGGCUGCGCCGCCCUGGUGGCCCAAUGCCGAAGAACAGCAAGGUGACUCAGCGCGAGCACAGCAGUGAGCAUGUCACGGAGUCGGUGGCCGACCUGCUGGCCCUUGAGGAGCCCGUGGACUAUAAACAGAGUGUCCUGAACGUGGCCGGCGAGGCAGGUGGCAAGCAGAAGGCGGCGGAGGAGGAGCUGGAUGCGGAGGACAGGCCGGCCUGGAACAGCAAGCUGCAGUACAUUCUGGCCCAGAUCGGCUUCUCCGUGGGCCUCGGCAACAUCUGGAGGUUCCCCUACCUGUGCCAGAAAAAUGGAGGCGGUGCCUACCUGGUGCCCUACCUGGUGCUGCUGAUCAUCAUUGGGAUCCCGCUCUUCUUCCUGGAGCUGGCUGUGGGCCAGAGGAUCCGCCGCGGCAGCAUCGGCGUGUGGCACUACGUGUGCCCCCGCCUGGGUGGCAUCGGCUUCUCCAGCUGCAUAGUCUGCCUCUUUGUGGGGCUGUAUUAUAAUGUGAUCAUCGGGUGGAGCAUCUUCUACUUCUUCAAGUCCUUCCAGUACCCGCUGCCCUGGAGUGAGUGCCCUGUCAUCAGGAAUGGGACCGUGGCAGUGGUGGAGCCAGAGUGUGAGAAGAGCUCAGCCACUACCUACUUCUGGUACCGAGAGGCCUUGGACAUCUCCAACUCCAUCUCGGAGAGCGGGGGCCUCAACUGGAAGAUGACCCUGUGCCUCCUCGUGGCCUGGAGCAUCGUGGGCAUGGCUGUGGUCAAGGGCAUCCAGUCCUCAGGGAAGGUGAUGUAUUUCAGCUCCCUCUUCCCCUACGUGGUGCUGGCCUGCUUCCUGGUCCGGGGGCUGCUGCUGCGAGGGGCCAUUGACGGCAUCCUCCACAUGUUCACGCCCAAGCUGGACAAGAUGCUGGACCCCCAGGUGUGGCGGGAGGCGGCCACCCAGGUCUUCUUCGCCCUGGGGCUGGGCUUCGGGGGCGUCAUCGCCUUCUCCAGCUACAACAAGCAGGACAACAACUGCCACUUCGACGCCGCCCUGGUGUCCUUCAUCAACUUCUUCACCUCGGUGCUGGCCACCCUCGUGGUGUUCGCCGUGCUGGGCUUCAAGGCCAACAUCAUGAACGAGAAGUGUGUGGUCGAGAACGCCGAGAAGAUCCUGGGGUACCUCAACACCGACGUCCUGAGCCGGGCCCUCAUCCCUCCGCACGUCAACUUCUCCCACCUGAGCGCCAGGGACUACGCCGAGAUGUACAAAGUCAUCAGGACCGUGAAGGAGGACCGUUUCCCCGCCCUGGGCCUCGACCCCUGCCUUCUGGAGGACGAGCUGGACAAGUCCGUGCAGGGCACAGGCCUGGCCUUCAUCGCCUUCACCGAGGCCAUGACGCACUUCCCCGCCUCCCCGUUCUGGUCGGUCAUGUUCUUCCUGAUGCUCAUCAACCUGGGCCUGGGCAGCAUGAUCGGGACCAUGGCGGGCAUCACCACGCCCAUCAUCGACACCUUCAAGGUGCCCAAGGAGAUGUUCACAGUGGGCUGCUGUGUCUUUGCAUUCUUCGUGGGGCUGUUGUUCGUCCAGCGCUCCGGAAACUACUUUGUCACCAUGUUUGAUGACUACUCGGCCACCCUGCCGCUCACCCUCAUUGUCAUCCUUGAGAACGUCGCGGUGGCCUGGAUCUAUGGAACCAAGAAGUUCAUGCAGGAGCUGACAGAGAUGCUGGGCUUCCGGCCCUACCGCUUCUAUUUCUACAUGUGGAAGUUCGUGUCUCCACUGUGCAUGGCUGUGCUCACCACGGCCAGCAUCAUCCAGCUGGGGGUUACGCCCCCGGGCUACAGCGCCUGGAUCAAGGAGGAGGCUGCCGAGCGCUACCUGUACUUCCCUAACUGGGCCAUGGCGCUCCUGAUCACGCUCAUCGUCCUGGCCGUGCUGCCCAUCCCCGUGGGCUUCGUCCUGCGGCACUUCCACCUGCUCUCCGACGGCUCCAACACCCUCUCCGUGUCCUACAAGAAGGGCCGCAUGAUGAAGGAGAUCUCCAACCUGGAGGAGAACGACGAGACCCGCUUCAUCCUCAGCAAGGUGCCCAGCGAGGCGCCCUCCCCCAUGCCCACCCACCGCUCCUACCUGGGGCCUGGCAGCACAUCGCCCCUGGAGACCAGCGGCAACCCCAACGGACGCUACGGGAGCGGCUACCUCCUGGCCAGCACCCCCGAGUCAGAGCUGUGACCACCGCCCCGCCCUGCCUGCCUCGUCCCCCGCUCCCCGCCAGCCGGCCCGCCUGUCCCAGCCUGGCCUCUCCUUCCGGGCCAGGCCCUCCGCCCAAGGGGAGGGGGCUGCCCUGCCUCAUCCCCCACCCCGGUCCUGGCCCAUUUCUGCCCCCUCAAUCUGAGUGGGUGCUGGGAGAAGCUCUGGCCCCCAGUCUAGGCCCCCAAUGCAGCUAACCUUCUGAGAGCCUCGUACCAAAUUGCAGCUGAGUAGCUGGAACCAUCUAGAAAUCCCGAUUCCCAGCACAACACAGGGCCACUCUAGGGGUCACUCCGCUCUCCCUUUCUCCCUGGCACCUGGCACCUGCAGUUCUGCGGUCUCAGGGCCCUUUAGGUCUGUGCUGCCAGGCAGGGGUGGUGCUGGGAGGUACCGGGGUGGGUUGGAUAGCCGUGUCUCAUCCUGACUUAGGGGUGGGUCAGAUGUGCCAGGACUCAGGGCUCAGACUUGGGACGGCGUCUGCACAAGUCCCCAAGUUCUGUUUGGUGAGGCAGGUGGGGCCCUCUGGUUUGAGCAGCAGCCUGGGCCGCAGGGGUGGGGGAGCUGAGGGGGCUCCUCUGGCCCCAGCUCUGGGGGGAACCCCCAAGUCCUUGGCCCUGCCUUGGGUGGGUGGGACGGCUUCUCCUGCCCUCUCCCUCCACCUGCCUCCUGGAGCCCUGGGUGGCAGCCCUGCCUCCCUCCUCAAGAGCGGGGAGGCACAGCACAUGGAGGGCACACCUGAUGGUUCCCAGCACAAUUCAGAUGGUUCGGAGCACAGCUGUGAAGCACACACCCCUUCCCCUCUUGCCUGGGGCCCGACUUUCUCACUAGUGGCAGCUUCUCCCCCAGAACAGCGGUCCCUGGACGUCAGGGGCUCACACCCGGGGAAAGAGAUGAUUUCACUGCCCCUUUGGGCCACCACCCCCUCCUUGUACAAGCACAGCCCCCCCCCCCGUGUGCACAUCAUGUGGGGACACCUCGGAAGCCUUUCCCAAGCUGCCUGGCCUGUGGCAGGGAGGGCCACGGACAGUGCUGUGGACACUGCAAGCUGCCAGGGGACGGGCCAGCCCUCUGUCCUGGGGCUCAGUCCCACACGUGCUGACCCAACUUACCUUCCCCUUCCCCAGAAGGGGGCUUCCCUUGGAGUAUAGACUCAGAGGAGCAGAACCUGACCGGGGAGCAGAAGUCUGCAGAGCAAUAGAUAGAAGAAUGGAAGGAUGGAUGGAUGGAUGGAUGGAUGGAUGGAUGGAUGGAUGGGUGGAUGGAUGGAUAGAUGGAGGGAGGGAAGGAUGGAUGGAUAGAUGGAGGGAAGGAUGGAUGAAUGGAGGAGGGAAGGAUGGAUGAAUGAAUGGGAGGGAGGAAGGAAUUCUGGCUGGGACAGCAAAUCUCCAUCUUUGAGAGCUAUGGUGGGCAGGGCAGGGCGGGCCACAGUGCUUGGCCUGGCUCCCUUCGCAGAGGGUCCUGACUCACUCUGUGCCUCUGACUGCUCUCAGCCUGGGAGGGACAGACUAGGCCCAGGGCGCCGUCCUUCACCCCUUAGUCUCUUGGUUCCUCCCCCUCCUUGGAGUCCACCCAGCACCUCCCUUACCCGUCCCCCCACCCUGUGCUCCCAUUUGCAGCCCUCUCAGCCACACCCAUCCUUCCUGCGUGUGUGAGGGGAGAGGGAGACCCACAUCUCCCCAAAAACGUGAGCUUUGGGGGCACAACAUCCCCCCUUAGGCCUCCUCACCUGACACCACCUGCUCCCUGGCCCCGUGCCUGAUCCCAAGCAGAAAUAGCAACAGGAAGCACAGGGCGCCGGGAGAGACACUGGACUAAAUAUACUCUUCUGUGUAUUCUUUCUAUUGUAUAUUCAAUCUGUACAUGUGGGUGUAAAUGCUGGUAAAUGACAAACCCAAUAUUAUACUGUGGCUGGUGGACUAUUUUCAUCCUCAGUGCUGUACAGAUCUAUUUUCAUUGUAUAUUUGAGAUAUUUUUAAUUUUGUAGCGUGUCGCUGGCCCAGGCCCCAGCCUGCCAGCCUGAGACAGGGUGACUGAGCCGGGCAUCUUCUCCGUCCUCGUGGGCUGGGUAGUGCUUGUAGCCACUGCUGUGAGCAGGGCCCUAUCCUGCUGUGUCUGCUGUUAACUGUAGGGCCUGGAGCUUGGCAUGCGUGUGUGCGUGUGUGUGUGUGUGUGUGUGCAUACGUGGGUGUGGGUGUGUGUAGGAUGCUAAUUUGUGUUUCCCAGCGUUCACCACAACCCUGAAGACCACGCCGCCGCCGCCUCCUGCCCCUCCUCUCAGCUCCAUCAGGCGAGGUCGCAGGGCAGGGUCCCGUGGGAAGUGCCCUCUGUGGGAAAGGCACACGCUUCUGACGGGUGACACAUUGCCUUCACACCAGCGGGCUUGCCCGAAACGGGGAAGGGAGGUCUUGGGGGCAUGGGGGAGGUCCUUAAAUUUCUUUCCCAGCCAGCCUCUUGCUGUGCCCACUGGAGGCACAAGCUCUUCACUCCCAGGGUAAGCGCUGGGUUUCUUAAGAGGACGAGACCCCAAGAGGGCAUCGGCUUACGGGGCCCCUGUCCUGUGUGUGUCCUUGACACAUCGCUGGCAGUGUUCAGAGGGAACAGUGGGGCAUCUGACCAGGUCAGACCAGCCCCAGAGCCCCCGCAGGAGCAGGAGGUGGCCAGAGGGGCAGGCCCCUAUGCUCCUGCACAGGGUCUCCACCCCAAUGACUUUGGUGCUGUCCUUGCAGUGCCCACAGGGGACAGAGCGGACCCAGGGCAGAGCAGGGCAGGGCUGUACCGGAAAGAGUCCCUGGUCCUGCCUCUGCUUGCCCUCCAGCCCCAGUCACCAGCUUCUUGCUCAGGGAGCCCUCUCUGCUGAGGCAGCUUGCAGCCGAGGCCCAGAUGGGGUGAGCCGGUGGGCACACAGGCUGGUGCCAGCCAGGUUGGCUUUUGCCCUCAAGCAGUAAGUCUGUGGGGGCUGCUGCUCUUCUAGUGCCCGGAGAAGCCCUCCUGAGUCAGUCUGCCACUGGCCACGUGGCUGGCAGGGGGCGGAAGCCGCAUGGGCCCAGGCCUGAGCGGGCUGCCGCGUUAUGAUGGGCAGGGGGCGGCCCUCUGCCCAUCCUCACUGCACCUCUCCCUCCCCGCCAGAGCACAGGUUGGAAUGCACGCGACUCCCUGAGCCCUGAACCUGGGGGCCCACUGCCCCUUCACUGGAGCCUAGUGACUGGAGGGGAGGGGGAAGGGUCUGGGGUCCCCGCUCAUCCCAGCCCUGCUUUGUACAGACCCAAGCGCACCUGGCAGACGUCACUUUAGGUUCUGGCACCAGCUCAGAACAAUUCCAGUCCACGUGCCCCACACUAGACAAGAGUCCUGGGUCAUGACCGCUCAGCCCAGGGGAGGGAACAAGGCAUUGUCACCCCUGGAGACCCUCUUUCCUCUCUUUCCUCCCAUGGUGUACAAUAAAGCAUCUGUUCU
RNAcentral lists this long non-coding RNA (5744 nucleotides) under Sus scrofa (pig). Its description in RNAcentral is "lncRNA (ENSSSCG00015005587.1)". The record is from RNAcentral. Lineage: Eukaryota; Metazoa; Chordata; Mammalia; Artiodactyla; Suidae.